AGUGGCCGGACUUUGCCACCUCCAGCCUGGAGUGUUUUGGGAAUUCCCCAUUCUGAAAUGGUCUCCAGUGUGGCUGCAGCACGUCCAUUUGACAAUCCUGACCUCGGUGGUGGCAAAUCUUCCUUGUUUCCUGGUGGAUUUAACUUUGCAGAAGGACCAGCAGACAUCCUGACCCAAACCUGAUGGAUGAGAUUGGUGUAAAGUGGAGAAAUUCUGUUUUGGAUUAAUCACAAGGAGAUUUAAAAAACGAGAGAUUUUCUGUAACCUCCUGCCCAGCUGGUAUGGCCUGAAAGCUUGUGUACUCCCAGAUUCAUAUGUUGAAAUCCUAACCCUUCAUGUGACGGUAUUUGGAGGUGGAGUUCUUGGGAGUUGCUGAACAGAAGUGAGGGAAGACGAUGCCAGUGACAGCAGAACAUUGCUGAGGGCUGCAGAAAUAUGACAGCCCCUGGGCCCCUGCACUUCCCCUCCCUGCACAGACAAGAGUAUGGUGAAGAACGGAAUGAAGUUAUAACGCUUGGGAAGUGGCCUGUGAGGCCUGAUGAGCCCAUGUUCUUUCUCUCACGUGGUAAGAAAUGACCCCGAGUGACCAGAGGGGCUCAUCAGAGCUGAUCUGAGUUCAGUAAAAGGGCUGAUGUGGAAGAUGAGGCAGAGAGUGGACCUUAGAUCUCAGAAGUGUCUGUUGGAUGAUGGAGACCUUCACAGAGAACACUUUCUCAGGAAGCGUUCCCAGCAGAGGUCUCAGCCCCUGGCUGAUUCACAGCCUGCAUUUAGAACGGAGAUUGAGUCAGAGGAGAUUCCACCUCUCCAUGCAUUCCCACAGUCCUGAAACUAGUCAGUGUUAGAACCAGAAUUCAAACUGACGGUCUGAGCCCAGAGCUCUGCUCUUCAUCUUACCCAGUAUUACAUUCAUUCCCAUAUUGACUGAAGAUUCACUUUCACU
This 940-nucleotide long non-coding RNA is filed under the name Homo sapiens (human). Its description in RNAcentral is "HSALNT0338141". Lineage: Eukaryota; Metazoa; Chordata; Mammalia; Primates; Hominidae. The record is from RNAcentral.